RNAcentral lists this long non-coding RNA (483 nucleotides) under Vigna radiata. Its description in RNAcentral is "long non-coding RNA (VRAD_LNC009455)". Lineage: Eukaryota; Viridiplantae; Streptophyta; Magnoliopsida; Fabales; Fabaceae. The record is from RNAcentral.
UUCUGCAUAACUAUAUACCGAUUAAUCACCACCAUCCAUGAACAGCUUCUGUGUAGGUGUUCUUGAUCCACCUUAAACUCUUCCUCAGGGAGCCUUUCAUUUUUCCUUCCACAGAAUAUAUUUUAUAGCCAGCGACUCUCUUCUUCCUCUGCAACUCAGGGUCACUGAAGCUCCAACUUUUUGAUACUUUAUUAGCUAUGUUUUUCCCUUUAUCCACCUUCACUUCCUUUUCCUUACCUAUCUUGCAUGGAUAUGCAGAACUACCAUAACUUGCACUGUAACUGUAAGACCUCAGAUCUUGCAUACCUGUUGGGGCCACCCUUCCUCCAUUGUAGUUUUCAAUCUGCAGACUCUCACUCCUGCAUGAUUUGGAUCUGAAUUCCAUGGUGAAAACCACACUGCACAAACACAAGAGUGAAGAACUAAGGAUGUGUAGUUUUAAGGAGAGAAAGAAUGAAGCUAAAAGAGAUGGUAGGUUGGUCG